This 594-nucleotide long non-coding RNA is filed under the name Homo sapiens (human). RNAcentral describes it as "HSALNT0161580". The record is from RNAcentral. Lineage: Eukaryota; Metazoa; Chordata; Mammalia; Primates; Hominidae.
GCGAGAUGUAACCGGCUGCUGAGCUGGCAGUUCUGUGUCGCUAGGCUUCGGCCCGGCCGCCGCCACACAUAAGCUGCGAUGAGGAGCUUUACGACUUCCCGGUCUUCGGGGCCGGGCGCAGCAAGGGCCAGACUCUGCGCUAGCAGGCGCUGCGCGCCAACCGGCCGGCACCUGUCGCAGAAGGUGCAACCGAUCGCACUGUCGCGCAGAAGCUCCUCAAUGGCCAGCACCAGCUGCAGCCCCGGCCGCCCACUCGCCUCACUUGAGCCUGUCUGGCAGCCUGCUAUCAAUUAUAUUGAUAGUAAAUUUGAGGACUACCUAAAUGCAGAAUCGCGAGUGAACAGAUGUCAGAUGCCUGGUAACAGGGUGCAGUGUUGUUUAUACUUCAUUGCUCCUUCAGGACAUGGGUGGCAGACAAGAAACAUGGAUUAUUGCGUGGAGUUCCAUUAGUAGGAAUAAGACUCAUUCUACAUUCUUGUUGUUCUUAGUGUUUUUUGUUUUUCAUGAGAAGGAAUUGUAUCAGCACAAGGCAAUAUUCUAACAUGACAAUGACAGCAGACAGAACCUCAAUAAACUCUGACUUGGUACUGCAAA